CGAGGGGCAGCGGGGAGGAAGCUUGCUUUCUCCGCCGGCGACCGGCGCACGGGUGAGUAACACGUAUGCAACCUGCCCCUGUCAGGGGGACAACCCGCCGAAAGGCGGGCUAAACCCGCGUACAUGCCACCGGGGCAUCCCGGAGGCAGGAAAGGCUUCGGCCGGACAGGGAUGGGCAUGCGGCGCAUUAGGCAGUAGGCGGGGUAACGGCCCACCUAACCGACGAUGCGUAGGGGUUCUGAGAGGAAGGUCCCCCACACUGGUACUGAGACACGGACCAGACUCCUACGGGAGGCAGCAGUGAGGAAUAUUGGUCAAUGGUCGGGAGACUGAACCAGCCAAGCCGCGUGAGGGAGGAAGGUACAGAGUAUCGUAAACCUCUUUUGUCAGGGAACAAAGACUGGGACGCGUCCCCGGAUGAGUGUACCUGAAGAAAAAGCAUCGGCUAACUCCGUGCCAGCAGCCGCGGUAAUACGGAGGAUGCGAGCGUUAUCCGGAUUUAUUGGGUUUAAAGGGUGCGCAGGCGGUCUGUUAAGUCAGCGGUCAAAGCCCGGGGCUCAACCCCGGCCCGCCGUUGAAACUGGCAGUCUCGAGUUGGAGAGAAGUAUGCGGAAUGCGCGGUGUAGCGGUGAAAUGCAUA
This 640-nucleotide ribosomal RNA is filed under the name uncultured bacterium. RNAcentral describes it as "bacterial SSU rRNA". It matches the Rfam family "Bacterial small subunit ribosomal RNA", at positions 63 to 692 of the family's 1533-position model. The record is from RNAcentral.